AGGAAAGAAAUCCAAAGGAGGAAGAACAAAAAAGAAGCCAAGAAGAGUGACCAGAUUGGAAGUUGCCAAAAACAAAGAAGAAACCUAAAAGAAAUAGCCCCUAGUGUAAGAAAUCGGGCUGUAAAUUGUGCUAUUGAAGGGAAAACCACCAAGCUUUGUCGGAAGUAUCAAGUGUUUCAGGCUCCAGGUUCCAGCACGAGCAAGGAUUGAGAGGUGGGGCUUGGCUGAUUUAGAGAUGGAUUUGUUUGUGUACCCGUGUAACCCCA
Diospyros lotus (date-plum) is the source of this 266-nucleotide long non-coding RNA. RefSeq lists it as uncharacterized. NCBI's taxonomy places the organism in Eukaryota, Viridiplantae, Streptophyta, Magnoliopsida, Ericales, Ebenaceae. The transcript is spliced from 3 exons. The record is from RefSeq and is a predicted model, not a curated record.